UGCCCUUGCCCUCGGCCUCGCCGAGAGGCGCCCUCGGCGCCAAGGGGGGGUGAACCGCCCCAGCGGGUGAGGCAGGGGCGAGUGGCGCGGAGCCUGGGCGGCCGCGAGGCAGCUGCCUUCCACUCGGAGCGUUGGCCCGACCCUCCGCGGGCUCACCUGCCUCGGUCGACCCCGAUCAGCUCACGCCCCGCCUCUGCCUGCGGUUUCCUCAGAGGAACAUUCAUGGACUGGGGAUGCUGUCGACUGAUCCCCGAAGAGAAUUCAGCCUCGUAUGGAUAUGUCAGCCUGAAGGGCUAGGAAUCGGAAAGCUGUGCUUAGAACUCAGCCACCACGUUGUGAGGAAACCAAUGUAGCCACAUGGACAGGUCAUGGAAGGCAUUCCAACAAUCCUCGCCAAAAACCAUGCUAAGGUCUCAGCCAACAGCUAACAUCAACAACCAGACAUGUGACUCCUGGAUCAAGGAGUCAUUUGGACUUUCAAGUCAUAUUAUUCAAGAAAUACAUUUCAUAAGGCUAUUGCUGCCAUAGAUAAUGAUUCUCUAUGGAGCGAGGCAAAGUUAAUUGAAAACCUCUAGAAGGAUUCAUGAGAAGAGGUCAAAAUACCAACAUUAACAGGAGUUGGAAGAAUUUGAUUGCAACCCUCGUGUAUGACUUUGAGAUGUCCAAGACUUCAGUGGAAGAAGUACCUGCAGAUGUGGUGGAAACAGCAAGAGAACUAGAAUCAGAAGUCACGCCUGAAGAUGGGACUGUAUUGUUGCCAUCUCAUGAUAAAACUUGAACGGAUGAGGGGUUGCUUCUUCUAGAUGAGCAAAGAAAGUGGUUUCAUGAGGUGGAAUCUAUUCAUGGGGAAGAGGCUGUGAAGACUUGAAAUGACAACAAAGAAUUUAAAAUAUUACAUUAAUUUAGUUGAUGAAGCAGUGGCAGGUUUGAGAGGAUUGACUCCAGUUUUGAAAGACGUUCUACUGUAGGUAAAAUGCUAUCAAAUAGCAUCUCAUGCUACAAAGAAAUUAUUCAUGAAAGGAAGAGUCACCUGAUGUAGCAAACCUCAUUGUUGUCUUAUUUUAAGAACUUGCCACAGCCACCCCAGCCUUCAGUAACCUCCACGCCGAGGAGUUGGCAGCCAUCCACACUGAGGCAGGACCCUUCACCAGCAAAAAGAUGACUUUCUGAAAGCUCAGAUGAUGGUUAGCACUUUUUAGCAAUAAAGUAUUCUUAAAUUAAGGUAUGUACUUUUUUUUUUUAGAUAUAAUGCUAUUGCACAGUUGAGAGACUAUAGUAAAGUGUAAAUACAAUUUUUACAUGCACCAAGAAAUUGAAACAUUCAUUUGAUGUGCUUUAUUGUGGUGGUCUGGAGUUUGCACAAUAUUUGCAAGGUUUGCCCAUAUAACCAUGAAAUGAAUUGCCCAGGGCUCAUAAGUAGUGGAGUAGAUUGCGGCUCCAGUUCAGACUUUCCACCGACCGUACCAUGCCACCUCUAUAUGUCCACCAUUUAAUUAGGGAGUUCCUUCCUCCCCUGGUUUCUUACAAUUCCUAUUUUGUAUGAUUUUCUUCCCAGUGGCACAUAGGACUAAACAUCGUUUGAAAAAAGAAAUCACUCUGUUGAUCUUUUGAGUAGAGUUAAUACUCUAGUAGAGAGGGAGAAAGCACUUCUCAAUUCUUUUGCUCUGUUGGUAGCAACAGUGCAAUCUGAGUUCUUGAAUAGUCUAGUCCAGAUUUCUGUUGACUAACACAUUCUCAUUAAAAACCACUUAUCUGAAUUCCUUUACUGAGGUUACUGCCCCUUUUGUGCAUUUGUGAUAGGGAGUUGCUUUGGGGAUUUGUUUUCCUGCUUGCACCUGUUUCAUAUCUUCAGCACACAGCCAGUCCAUGCCAGCACUGUACAGCAACCUUCCACGUAUUAUAGAUGCACUCAAACCACGAGUGGUUUCCUUAAGGAAAAGCUUCCUUGCUGACGUGAGACCGAUAGUUCAACCUCUCAAAAUAUCUAACUGUGGCCAUGUCCAUAUAAUUAAUACUGCUUUGAAAGAAUAGUUGAGCAAACAUCUUUCCUGGUCUGUGAUUAAACUUGAGAGACUGUAUAGUUCACUUGGGAGGCAGGAGUUCCACUCCAUAUUAUAUUGUAAAGGCUUAUCCAUAUGGAAAUAUGUAGAGCUAGUUAAUUGUUUGUACACUUAUUGGUGUACAUUUAGAUUUUUUUCCCAGUUUCCUAAAAAAGGUCUGUUUGUUUUGCUGUUACAAACUGUCACAGCGUAUUUCUUGUUCAUGUCUACUUGUGAACAUUUCCAAGAAUUUUUCUAGAGUGCAUGCUAAGAAACAGAAUUGAUGAUUCACUGUGUGUUUCUCAUCUUUACCU
Nyctereutes procyonoides (raccoon dog) is the source of this 2353-nucleotide long non-coding RNA. RefSeq lists it as uncharacterized. Lineage: Eukaryota; Metazoa; Chordata; Mammalia; Carnivora; Canidae. The record is from RefSeq and is a predicted model, not a curated record. The transcript is spliced from 4 exons.